UUUUAUGAGAGUUUGAUCCUGGCUCAGGACGAACGCUGGCGGCGUGCCUAAUACAUGCAAGUCGAGCGGACCUGUGGGAGCUUGCUCCCAUAGGUUAGCGGCGGACGGGUGAGUAACACGUGGGCAACCUGCCUGUAAGACUGGGAUAACUUCGGGAAACCGGAGCUAAUACCGGAUAACUUCUUUUCUCGCAUGAGGAGAGGUUGAAAGAUGGCUUCGGCNNNNNNNNNNCUCCCAAAGGUUAGCGGCGGACGGGUGAGUAACACGUGGGCAACCUGCCUGUAAGACUGGGAUAACUUCGGGAAACCGGAGCUAAUACCGGAUAACUUCUUUUCUCGCAUGAGGAGAGGUUGAAAGAUGGCUUCGGCUAUCACUUACAGAUGGGCCCGCGGCGCAUUAGCUAGUUGGUGAGGUAACGGCUCACCAAGGCAACGAUGCGUAGCCGACCUGAGAGGGUGAUCGGCCACACUGGGACUGAGACACGGCCCAGACUCCUACGGGAGGCAGCAGUAGGGAAUCUUCCGCAAUGGACGAAAGUCUGACGGAGCAACGCCGCGUGAGUGAUGAAGGUCUUCGGAUCGUAAAACUCUGUUAUCAGGGAAGAACAAGUAUCGGAGUAACUGCCGGUACCUUGACGGUACCUGACCAGAAAGCCACGGCUAACUACGUGCCAGCAGCCGCGGUAAUACGUAGGUGGCAAGCGUUGUCCGGAAUUAUUGGGCGUAAAGCGCGCGCAGGCGGUCUCUUAAGUCUGAUGUGAAAGCCCACGGCUCAACCGUGGAGGGUCAUUGGAAACUGGGAGACUUGAGUGCAGAAGAGAAGAGCGGAAUUCCACGUGUAGCGGUGAAAUGCGUAGAGAUGUGGGGGAACACCAGUGGCGAAGGCGGCUCUUUGGUCUGUAACUGACGCUGAGGCGCGAAAGCGUGGGGAGCGAACAGGAUUAGAUACCCUGGUAGUCCACGCCGUAAACGAUGAGUGCUAAGUGUUAGAGGGUUUCCGCCCUUUAGUGCUGCAGCAAACGCAUUAAGCACUCCGCCUGGGGAGUACGGCCGCAAGGCUGAAACUCAAAGGAAUUGACGGGGGCCCGCACAAGCGGUGGAGCAUGUGGUUUAAUUCGAAGCAACGCGAAGAACCUUACCAGGUCUUGACAUCCUUUUGCCCUCCCUAGAGAUAGGGAUUUCCCUUCGGGGACAAAAGUGACAGGUGGUGCAUGGUUGUCGUCAGCUCGUGUCGUGAGAUGUUGGGUUAAGUCCCGCAACGAGCGCAACCCUUGACCUUAGUUGCCAGCAUUCAGUUGGGCACUCUAAGGUGACUGCCGGUGACAAACCGGAGGAAGGUGGGGAUGACGUCAAAUCAUCAUGCCCCUUAUGACCUGGGCUACACACGUGCUACAAUGGAUGGUACAAAGGGUUGCGAGACCGCGAGGUUUAGCUAAUCCCAUAAAACCAUUCUCAGUUCGGAUUGCAGGCUGCAACUCGCCUGCAUGAAGCCGGAAUCGCUAGUAAUCGCGGAUCAGCAUGCCGCGGUGAAUACGUUCCCGGGCCUUGUACACACCGCCCGUCACACCACGAGAGUUUGUAACACCCGAAGUCGGUGGGGUAACCCUUACGGGAGCCAGCCGCCGAAGGUGGGACAGAUGAUUGGGGUGAAGUCGUAACAAGGUAGCCGUAUCGGAAGGUGCGGCUGGAUCACCUCCUUU
RNAcentral lists this ribosomal RNA (1699 nucleotides) under Lederbergia citrea. RNAcentral describes it as "bacterial SSU rRNA". It matches the Rfam family "Bacterial small subunit ribosomal RNA". The record is from RNAcentral. Lineage: Bacteria; Bacillati; Bacillota; Bacilli; Caryophanales; Bacillaceae.